Molecule: ribosomal RNA, 292 nt
Filed under: uncultured eukaryote
Lineage: Eukaryota
Description: partial 18S ribosomal RNA
Rfam family: Eukaryotic small subunit ribosomal RNA
Source: RNAcentral
GGUUGAUCCUGCCAGUAGUCAUAUGCUUGUCUCAAAGAUUAAGCCAUGCAUGUCUAAGUAUAAGUGACACUUUUACAUCGAAACUGCGAAUGGCUCAUUAAAUCAGUUAAAAUCUACAGUGUGGUACAUUUACCUACAUGGAUAACCGUGGUAAUUCUAGAGCUAAUACAUGCAUUAAGUCCCGACUUCUGGAAGGGAUGUAUUUAUUAGAUAAAAAACCAACCCGGGUUUACCCGGAGUUUCUUGGUGAAUCAUAAUAACUGUACGAAUCGUAUGACUUUAUGUCGACGAU